This 253-nucleotide ribosomal RNA is filed under the name uncultured bacterium. RNAcentral's name for it is "partial 16S ribosomal RNA". It matches the Rfam family "Bacterial small subunit ribosomal RNA", at positions 524 to 776 of the family's 1533-position model. The record is from RNAcentral.
UACGUAGGGACCAAGCGUUGUCCGGAAUCAUUGGGCGUAAAGCGCGCGUAGGCGGCCAUUUAAGUCCGAUGUGAAAGUCAGAGGCUCAACCUUUGAAAGCCGGUGGAUACUGGAUGGCUAGAGUACGGAAGAGGCGAGUGGAAUUCCUGGUGUAGCGGUGGAAUGCGCAGAUAUCAGGAGGAACACCAAUAGCGAAGGCAGCUCGCUGGGACGUUACUGACACUAAGGCGCGAAAGCGUGGGGAGCGAACAGG